Molecule: transfer RNA, 69 nt
Filed under: Llanolebias stellifer
Lineage: Eukaryota; Metazoa; Chordata; Actinopteri; Cyprinodontiformes; Rivulidae
Description: tRNA-Val
Source: RNAcentral
CAGAACAUAGCUUAAAUAAAAGCGUUUCCCUUACACCGAAAAGAUACCAUACUAAAAAGGCUGUUCUGA